GGCCGCCCGGAGGCCGCGCCGCUGCUGGCUGAGGCCCCGCCUGCCCCCGGACGUUCUCCCUCUUUCCUCCCCGGCUCUCACGCUCUCUCCUCCACAGCUCGCGCUCACUGCUGCGCUACUCACAUUCUGUCCUCCCGCUCCCCCCACCCGCUCUCCUCCCGGACCCUGCGCUGACUCCCCCUGGAUCUCCACAUGGAGCCUCCUGUCCGCAGGGACCGCCCCGCUCCGACGUCACAGGCGGCGGUUCCCGCUCUUCUCCCGGAGGAUGAGGAGACGUGUCUAGCAGGAAGUUGCUACAGCCGAUGUCAAAGAGGUUACUGCCUGUGUUGUCCUCUAGGAUUUUGAUGGUUUCCUGUGUCACACGACACAGGGAUCUGUCUGCUACCAGUUUGCUUGGCGACACGAAGGCCAGCUAUGUGACUCUCACCCGGGGAAAUCUUCCACCGACUCAGCACCCCACAGACGAUGCAAUCAGAGCUUCGGUGGGGCUGACGUGCGGCCGCGCUUCCGGAUAGGAGGGAAGAUCACGUCGUGUGCUUGACAAGUUGCUGUAGGAAUUUCCCCCAGAGGCAAGCCCAGCCAAGGUGCUGACAUCGGACUGCCAAGGAUGUGAGGCAACAAGAGAGGUGAUGGGGGUCCUGGGACAUGGGACACAAAACGUUUGGAUCCAUGCUGUCUGGGGUAACAGGUGCGCUUGGAACAAUCUCGAUGAAGGGGAAUCUUGCCUUCAAGCACAUUGUGAGCUGUUCUUAUCAAAAACCAGUCUAUGUUCUACGAGUUUUCGAUGGAAUUUGGAAGAAAAACAUGCCGCUUCCGAGCUGAUUUUGGAGGCAAGGCACUCUGGAUGCAUUCAAGAUGCAUUCUGGAUGCAUCUGAGCAGCGAGAGCAGGGAGCAGGGUGAGGGACAGAUCCAGAAGCAGUGCCGUGCCCAUCCCCACCUGACACCGCCCGCCACGGAGCACUCGUUUUAGAAUCCACUUCAGAGUAAUGCCACUGAAGGUCAAACGGCAGGAUGGGGGACUGAGUCAAAGUAGAGUGAUCAGGUGCAAGAUGAGACAUUUUCUAUUUCUUCUGGCUCCCAAAGCUGCCCAGCCUUGCCAAGCUGUGUCCCUGGGGCCCCGAGAAUUGUGGGCCCAGAGUGGGGAGCCCCCCAUUCUGGGAGUGGCACCUGCUGCAUGAAAGGCAAAGGCAAUGGGCACCGCUGGUCUGAACGGUGCUUCUCCUCUGGGCCAACGCUUUUCUGACCUCCCCUAGUCUAAGUAAAGGGAGGUGGGUCAACAGAAAGGGUUUCCAGCAGUGCAUGUGGGUCCUUGAGGAAUGUGGCACGGAGUUUUGCAUUUCUUUACCUCGAACUUCUUGGAGAAAGUUACCAGCAGUUCAGUGAGAGCCAUGUGACUGGCUCACACGGUGCCCAAGGAGCCACGGGCAGAAAGCAACCAAUGAAUCAGUGGCAGGGAUGGAGCCACGAUGGACGCAGACCAUACAUUAUGUCAACCGGUGCAAAUCAGCAGAGCUCCCCUGUUAAAGACGGAAGGGAGGGAGGAGGGAAGGGCCAUGGCCAGUAUUUAUAAAAUAAAAAAAUCUAGCAUCUUGCCACCUACAGGAGGCGUACUUGAAAUAAAAAUUCCUGUGCAUUAGAAAGUAAGCUGUGCCCUGCUGAUGCUGACGGAGAGAACGAGGAUGGACACUAGUGGGGAUCCAGGAUUUCAGGGACCACAGGAACCCUCCACGGCUUCACCCUGGCUGAACAGCCCCGGGCAUCAGCUUAAGUCUAACACGCAUGGACGUUCUGUGGGUUGGAACAAAAACGUUUCCAAUUGUGUGUGACCUACUUUACCUAAGUUUGCCGACGGCCAGGUACACACAUUCUGGUUUCCUCUCUCUCCAGCUCCCACUUUUGUCCCCUCCCUAGUUUAGCCCCAGUACAGAGGUUCCCUCUGAGGAUUUAUUUUUAAACUGAUAAUAUUAUGUCCCCAAAACAAAACUGCAAAAAACCCAAUUGUAUAGCAAGAAUAAACUGACAAAUUCCCUGACAAGAGCCGGCUUCCAAAAUACAAGUGAAGAUACAGCUCAAUAAGAUCAAUUUUCCACACAACUUAGAAAUGGGUUCUCCUUCUAAAAGUGGCAUUUCAACCACUGGAAAGCAUCAGCUGUCACUGUCUAGCUGGAGGGGUUUGGGAAUGUCCAGCUGUGAUCAAGCCGCCUAAAUCCCAUGGAGGAGGAGCAGAUGGCUUGGACUCAAAGGUGCUUGUCGCUCAGGGAAGCUGAGAUCACAAUGAGUUCGUUGUGUCUUGUCUGAAGAGUCAGUAUUUGUCAAAGAGAAGCAUGUACGAGUACUGUAGACCACUGGCCCGCAGAGUCAGGACUUGCCAGUGUCCCAACCAUGUGCGGGGUGAAGCUGUCUUGCCGGCCGGCGCUGGAGGCCCUCGUACGGGAGUGAUGGAUGCGUCAGCCACCGCAGGACAGCUCAGUUUCUGAUUCAGAGCCGUGUCCUAAGGCUGCCGCCUGGCAAGAUGCCAUCCAAGCAUCUUACGCACACCUGUUUUCCACCCAAAGCAGUCUCCUAAGAAUGACUGGCUUCUAGUAUUGAAGAGAGGAUGUGUUGAAGAGAAGAACUGAGCUUCUGUGCUUCACUCGUUGGAAAGUAAUAAACUGGCAUUUUGGUUUAUACAUCAGUCUCUUGAGAGUUUGGUUAACUUGAGUUAACUAUGGAUGCUACCCUGGACUGAAGACCCUACAGUUCCCAGGAGAACACGUCUGAGUAGCCAGCAGGCACCUUCUUCGGCAUCAGAGCGGGGUCAAGGCUUCAGCACUGAUGAAAAUGACAGAAAAUGCAGAAUCCGCCCUCCACCAAUACCCCCAGAACCCUCUUUGUAUUUCACUUUCCAUCAGAAACCAUUUUCUCCGAGGAGGAAGUUCCUAGAUGUUUUGUUUUCUGGGUCUCACUCCAGCACAAGCAUCUCCUUCAGAACUAGAUAUCCCAGAGGGAGGAUUCAGAAUGACACAGAAGCCCUCAUUCUCUUUGAAAAAAGCUGUCACAUACUUCACUGCAAAUGAUCAGAAUCAUAGUUUAAUCCAUUUCAAGUCACCGGUCACAAUAUUGAAAACUUCUGCCUGAGGGAGUACACACAAAGUGGAUUCGUUCUUCUAAGCUCAUCAAGAUAAACUUCUGUAUUAGUAAUAAUGCCAGAAAUAAGGAACUUAUUUUAAAUAAUGACCACAGUUUCUGGAACUCUCCCACCUUUUAUUUGUCUAAACUUUUCUUUCCCCAUUGAAUUGUUAACAUUGGUACAAAACAGUUCUUCCAGAUUUGUUUCUUUCAAAACGAAUUUAUUACACAUUUAGUUCUCCUAAAAUGUGCCAGACUGACAAACUAUAGAUCUCUCAACUCUAAAUCUGUAAACUGAGAGUCUUGUUAGAAAAAUGAGUUGCAUUAAGGGAGAAAAUAAGUUGCAUGAGGGAAAACGGGAUUUGUCCUGAGCGGAGAGCAGCCGUGGCGUUUGAGGUGUGACCAGAAAGAAAAGAAAAGAGUAUUUGCUUUCUAUUGUUUGAGAUGAGUUACGUCUUGUACCCUCAGGUUCAGGCUGAAAGCUGUGAGCAGAGUCAGGAGAAGGGGCUGACACUCCUCACCCUUCCUUGGGGCGCCUAUGAGGGUUUCUCAGCUAACCCCCCAGUUACCCCCAUUUCACAGACGUAGGAAUAGAGGUGCAGGAGGUUUCAGAAUUCACCUUUUAUCGGCUACACAUCAGUUACCUGGACACCUGACAGCAAGAGGAAGAAGAGGAAAUGGACACGCAGCCCACGGGGGUUCGGGAUUAAAUCAGGGGUUCUGCACAGAUGCUUCCUUCGGCCAGCAGCAUCUGCCUGCUGGGGGGGGAGGUGGGCUCAAGGGGGGUGUCUAGCUGGACUGGUGCAGAGAAAGAGUGAGCUCGCUGCACUGUGAGGGACACAGAAGAGGAAAGGGUGUCCGAUCGUUCUGUGCGUUCACGUGAGGUGCCGGAUCUAGGGCUGCUGGUGGAAGCAAAACAGGGAAGCAGGCGGCAGACGGAUAGAAUUGGAACAGGCGGAAAUAGAUUUUUAAACCCAAUUUCCAUUUUUCCAUUUGGCUUUGUUAAGAGGAAGUUUUCUGAGUUGAGGCCCCCCUCCCACUGAGCGGGGAGCCUGACAUGAGGCUUGAUGCCACGACCCCAAGAUCAUGACCUGAGCCGAAAUCAAGAGUCCGAGGCCCAGCCAGCCGACUAAGCCACCCAGGCACCCGGAAUCCCUUUUAAAAAGUCAUUUAGUUACUGUGAGCACUUGGUAACUGUUAACAGCACCAAAACUAUUCGUGAUAAUUAUUGGUCAUAAUCAUUGACAAUUUAUAGCAAGAGGCAGCAAAUUAUGGCCCACAACCCACUUUUAGGCAGCCUGCGAGCUAAGAAUAUUUUUUACAUUUUUAAAUGUAAAAUGGGGGGAGAAAAGGAGACCAUUAUUUAGUGACAUGUGAAAGUUAACUGAAAUUCAAAUUGUGUCUGCAGCACAUGUCCAAAAUAAAGUUUUAUUGGAACACAGCCAUGCUCCCCCAUUUACAGAUGGCCUGUGGCUGCUUUCCUGUUCCCAUGGCAGACUGAGGAGCUGCGACAGAAGUUUGCAAACCGCACACGUUUACCAUCUGGCCCUCCACGGAAGGUGUGCCAGGCUGUGACAGAACAAAGUAUUCGUUUCUUCCUUAGGUCACUCCAUGCCUGUUAUCAAAAUGUCGCGGAUGGCCAGCUAUGAAGACAUGCAUAAGUUUAUCAAAGAUAUUUGGAAAAGAGAGAGAAAUCAGAACCACACGAAAUGGGUAGUUGUGAAAUAAAAGUUAGGGGCACCUUCCCAAGAUGGAUUUGAAUUUCACAUUCUGCAAAGACUCACGGUUCUUAGAUGUGCUCUGGGAUUUAGAGGGUGAGUUCAUAUCCACAGUGUGCGUGAAAGAGCAACACUGCACAGGAGAGUCAAAACCCCAAUUAAAGUGGAAAGGUUUGGAAAAUGCUACAUGGACGCAACACCUGGACCCUCAUGUUCAUUGCGGCAUUAUUUACAGUAGUGAGGAUAUGGGAGCAACAUUCAUGCCCAUCGUUAAAGGAAUGGAUAAAGAAGGCGUGGUAUAUACAUACGUGGAAUAUUAUUCAGCCAUAAAAAGGAAAUCCUGCCAUUUGCAACAACAUGAAUGGACCUGGAGAGCACAAUGCCAAGUGAAACAAGUCAGUCUGAAAGAGACAAAUACUGUAUGAUCUCAUUUGUAUGUGGAACUUGAAAAAAAAAGAAAAGAAAGAAAGAAAAAACCCAAUGUCAUAGAAAAGGAGAUCAGAUUCGUGGUUCCCAGAGGCAGGGAUGAAGGGGAAAGGGAUUGGAGGAAAGUGGUCAAAAGGUACAAGCUUCCAGUGAGGAGACAGGAACUAGGGUGUGAGGUACGCGUGGACCGUAGUCACCACGGCCGCGUGAUGCACAGGGUUACGGGAAGCAGCUCUGAAGGGAUGAGCUCUCCUGGGGAUCUAUUUCAGAUGAUGGAUGCUCACUACAUUGACAGUGGUGACCAUUUCACAAUAUCUGUAAGUCAAGUCAUUGUACUGUAUGUCCUUAAUAAAACUGGAACAAAGUUUUUAGAAUGGACAGGUUUCUGCUCACAUCACAAUAACGCUGCUGGGAUUGUCCACUCGGCUGAUUGCUAAGCAAUGUUUUCUUGGGAGUGGGGUGAGGUCCAGAAUGACAACAGCUAGUGGCCGAUGAUGGACAUUAUAACAGGCAUCCUCAAGAUACAAGAAGCUAAGAUCAUGGCAGAAACGUGUGCCACGUGCAGGAUGCAGCCCUCCAUGGAUGCCUGGUGUGCGCCGUCCCAGAGGGCUGAGUUGGAAUUACUGACUCACGUUUCUAUUACGCUGCUGCUCAUUUGUUUCUUGGAUUUUUUUUUUUUUAGGGGUUGGUUUUUUUGCUUUUUAGAAUGCUUGCUACAUCUAAGAAACCAAAGAAUCAAUGUGACAUAGUAAAACUUUGACUCCUUUGAGUUUAAGAGAACAUUGGCAUCACUGGGCUGGGAUUGUUUCUCUUUGGCACACGCUGCACCAAGGUGCAGAGAAACCCCCAGGUUCUCACCCACCGCCACCUUUCAGGUUCAAAAAAUAUAGUUUUAAAAUAUAGACCUGAUUUCCAUCCUUGACCAUGAGUCAGGUUGCUUAUAUUCAUAAGGCACAAAGAACCCAAGCAGCAAAAUGAUCAUUAACGUGGAAAUAUAUCAUUAGCCACAAGGGCCUGGAUCAGAGUUAUAAACCCUCAAGGGCCUGUGAAACCAUCCAGAGAUUUGAAAAAAGGAAGAAAAAAAUGUGCAUUUCAAAACUAAUCUCUAUUUAAUUAACUGUUUACAAAAUAUAGCAUUGGGUCAGCAAUUUAACUGAGUUUUCUCUGAUAGAGUUGUUGGCUGGGCGUGUCAUGGGGGCCACACCCUACUCUCGGUCCCUGCCUUUCCCGCAUUUUCACUUUAGGGAAAGAGAAAAAAAUGACAAACAUGAAGUCGGGUAAGACCAGAGCUAUGAACAGAAAUCCCACAGGGUAGGAGAACCCAGGGGUCAGGUGGAGGUGACCUCUGGCAGAGAACUGUGUGAGGAGGGGCCACCCCACAUCCAGGGAAGGGGAACAAAUCACAUUCGCAGUUCUAGAUUUUCUAGUUACCACAUUGUGAAACUAAAAAGAAGCAGGCGGGCUUAAUUUUAAUACCAUAUUCUGUUUAACUCAUUAUACCAAAAUAUUAUUAUUUGGACAUGUAAUUGACAUCGACAAUUUUAAUGAGAUUUUUGCUGUGUGGACAUGAUUAAAGCUGAUUGAAAUAGACAAUAGUGUAGCAUUAAUCUAGGUGAAGCGGGUUUUAUUGGCACUUUUGGCCAGGCAGGACUUCAGGAAGCCAUUCAUCUUUCUUUUGAGAAUCUUUUCCUAAUGUACAGGCCAGAAGGAUUCCUGAUUGGGAUAUUUGGGAAUAUCUCACAUGAAUUAUUUUAGAACUGCUUUCUUAGGUAACUUGCAAUUUCUAGUAUGAUCAAAGCCUGUUAUAUCUCUCCCCGCAAAGAAUUUGUACUCAUAAAAUGUGUGUAAACUGGUAAGGAAGUGGGAAGCAGAAAAUGAGAUUCUGUAAAACAAUUAGGCCAUGCACCUCUAAGAACACACGUACAUCCAGUUCACUAGAACAUGUUCGGAGGCAGUGCUGACAGACUUGCUCCUGGCUGCCACUAACUGCAGACCCAGAGGACCCUGGUGAGCACUAAAUGUCACGAAGUCGCACCCUUGCUGGAGGCCAGGUCGCGCAUCUCCCUGGGAAUCCGCCCUGUGACAGAGGAACAAUAGAAGGAGCUGUUUCCCAAAUUUAGGAGAGGAUUAAGAAUGACCUGGAUGCUUGCUGACAAUACAGAUUUGGAGCCCAAAGCAGGGAAAUCUUGCAUGAGCAACCACUGUGGAUCGAAGUGAAAUUUCCAGUACCAAGGAGGAAGAGAGGGAACCUGGGGUUCCUGCCCUCCCCGCCACAUCCCUCUGCACCUCCAGCUCCCAGGUGCCUCCCUGUCCAUUUAUAGCAAGGGGAACACGGGGACAUGCCGGUCAGGGCAGAUACUUCUGUUUCUUGGCUACAAGGGAUCCUGACCCUAGGUUUCAGAGUCCACCUGCUGCUGGCAAACAAAAACUACUUUUCUCUUGGGGUGUGUGUCAGCGAUUAUGAAAGUGAGUGCCCUGGGACAUUGUGAAAUCCUUACACGGGAGAAGCCGCCCUGGCUUUUGGUCUCUGUGAGAUAAUCAUCCCCAUAGCAGGCUCUCUGCCAGCCAGGACCUGCUGCACUUCUCUGCCUUGUGUUUUAAAAUAUGGUGUAAUUAGAAUAUGAGCAGACAUGUCCUGAGGAUGAAAACAAGAUGGCAGAUAAGCCCCUGAGAAGAUGCCUAAUGCCAUUAACUGUGAGGAAAGUGCAAAUUAAAACCAUGCGGGAUAUCACUACAGACCUAACGGUAUGGCUGAAAUAAAAAAUAUCAACAACACCAAAUGCUGGUGAAGAUUCAGAGGCACUGAAUCACUCCUGCACCCUGGAGGGAGUGUGCAUUUGCUCAGUCACUCUGGAAAACAGUGCGGAAGUUUUUACAGAGCUAAACACACAGUCACUGUAUGACCAAGCAAGGACACCUUGAACAUUUAUUCCGCGGAAACGGAGGCUUAUGUUCACGCAAAAACCUAUAUGCAAAUGUUCAGAGAAGCUUUAUUCAUAAAUCUAUAAACACCCCAGAUGCCCUUCUGUGGGUGAAUGGUCACAGACUCUGGUAUCUCCGUACCAUGGAAUUCUACUCAGCAAGCAAAACUGACCAUUUAUUUAUGCAACAGAUUACAAAGGAGUUCUACUGAGGGAAAAAAUCCAAUUCCAAAAGGUUACUAUUAAAAACCAAUUCACCUGAGUAAAUUUUAAAGAUUUUAUCGGCUUUAUUCAAUGAUUCGUGAAUUGGGCAGCAUCACAUCUAGCAGAUAGGACAGAGACUCAUUUCACACAUGGUACAAAACAGAAGACUUGUACAGGCAGAAGUGGGCAGGACAAAAAAGUUACUAGCAACGAGUGGAUUGUUUUAGGCAAGGCCACCUUCCUUUGGGGGAAGGCCAAGGGUCCAUCGGGCAGAUGACCUCACUAGUGCUGACCAGGUAAUCCCAGACUGACUGGUUAAGAUUACACUCCUGGGAAAGGCUGAAACCAUAAUUAGGUUAGAUGUGAAGUCUUGGUUUGGUGACAUGAACUUAUCCCAAGUGACUCCAUUUUGGGCCUGUUUUCUCUGUCUCUUUUUUUAAAGUAAUCUUAUGGGACUCGAACUCACAACCCUGACAUCGAGUUACUUGCUCUACUGACUGAGCCAGCCAGGCACCCCUGUUUUCUCUUUUUAACCAUACCAUAUGAUUCCAUUUUUAUAUCAUUCUUGAAAUGUCAGAAUUAUGGAGAUGGGGAAUAGACUAGUGAAGAGGAAUGAUUGCCCAGGUUAGCGAUGGCGUGGGGAGGACAGGGGUCACCCGAGGGGGUCUUGUGGUGAUGAAAAUGCUGUGUCUUGACUGUGUUAGUGUCAAUGUGCUGGUUGUGACAUUGUCUGGUAGUUUUGGAAGACAUUACCCUCUGGGGAAAUUGGGUGAUGGGUGCUUAAGUUGGGUCUGUAUUAUUUCCUACAACUACAUGUCAAUGUACAGUUUUCUUUAGAUGAAAGUUUAGUUUAAUAAGAUAUGGUGUAACUGUAGAUGUCUUAUGCACCCCAGCCUGCCCACACACACAAGUAUACUGUCCCCUUACCCUCAUAGGCAUUCGAAUUUCUGAACUCUUCUAAACGGCAAUUAAGUGGCCCAAAUGAUUAAUUCACCAUUUGAAAGUUGUUAUUAGCUGCUGUUUGUCAAAAGAGUCUAUCAUUUUUAUCCAUUUCAUGUCACUGAAUCAUUACCCCUUAUCCAUAUCACUGAGGGCACACAGCCAAAAGUUUUGUAUAAUCUUUUUUAGUUCUA
Ailuropoda melanoleuca (giant panda) is the source of this 9511-nucleotide long non-coding RNA. RefSeq lists it as uncharacterized. NCBI's taxonomy places the organism in Eukaryota, Metazoa, Chordata, Mammalia, Carnivora, Ursidae. The record is from RefSeq and is a predicted model, not a curated record. The transcript is spliced from 6 exons.